Molecule: non-coding RNA, 1989 nt
Organism: Odocoileus virginianus texanus
Lineage: Eukaryota; Metazoa; Chordata; Mammalia; Artiodactyla; Cervidae
Source: RefSeq, a predicted model, not a curated record
UGAGGAAGUUGAGUGGUCGACGCGCGUCAGAGGCUUCUUGGGUCGCGUUGGAGGGUUCCCGAGGCCUGUGAAGCCGGCGGAGGUCGCCUCUGUCGGCCGACGCCUCAACCUUCGCCCUGGGCGUCAGCCUCAGGCUUCACGGAAGUGGAAGCGAGCCAAGAGUAAGACAAAAACCAGUACAAAUAAAUCCCCAAGUCACAACAGAUUAUCUCCUUAGAGGCUUCUGAAAUGCUCAAUUCAGUGGUCCCCAAAUUUGCUGCCCACUGGAAUCACCUGGCCAUCUUUUAAAACUACUGAUGCCUGGCUCCCAUCUCUCAGUAUUGUAAUUUACCAGGUGUGUUGACUUUUAAAGGAUGUUUGUGGUUUCAGAGAAACCCCAGGACACACAGAAACUUGAAAUUUCCAAGGAUGUGAACUGCAAGACAACCAUUGCGUAUCAGAUCUUGUCCUUGACAUUAUGGACAAGCUUCUUUCAAAGAAAGCUCUUUACCCAUGAGGAUAAGGGAGUCGAUAGAUAUAAGAGGCAUCUCUGGAUUGUCACACACAGGCCAUACAACCUCACCAAAUAAAUAGUUCUUUGUAUAAAGAAAAAAAGAACUGUUGUCAUGUUGAGAAGAGGACAGGAAAAGGCUCAGAUGUCCCAAACGGAAUUACAACUCAUUCAUUUGAAUGGAAUAUUUGAAAAAUAAAAUAGGGGGAUUUAAGCACAGUCCUUGGGGAUUAUAAAUUAUGGGCAGUGUGUUCCUUAUUUAGAAUGUUUCGGGAGGAACAACUUUUGUAAAGUCAGAGUCACGAGUUUCCAGUUACUAGAGAUUUUCAAGCAGGCCCUGGGCCACCACAUGGCAGGGGGUAUUAGAGAGAUGAGUCAGGCAGUAGAACGGUAUACGAGGUGAACUCUGAGAGCCUGUGCAGUCCUGCUGUCUCUGGCAACAUCUCCUUUCUCCAAGGGAAGAUACAGAAUUAUCCUGGAAAGGAAGAGUAUAGGCAGGACUGAGCCCAAGAAAUUUAGGCAAAGCACUAGGAAGAAGCCAGAUAACUUGAAGAGAGCCUUCUCUAGAUUAAGUUAGAUUUAUGGAGCUAGAAAAGACUUUGGGGGGUGUCUGUCUUGCUCUUGAUAAAGAAAUGGAAAAACUGUAUUAGUCAGAUAGGCUAGACUGUGAUACGUUAAUAAAUUAUGAAAUCUCACUGGCUUAACAGGAGAAAAGUUGACUGUUCCCUUGUGCAAACUCCUUUACAGAUGUUUCUGAUCAGGCAUUCUCCUCCAAGUGAUGACUGAGUGAUACAGGUUCCUUCCAUCUUGUUUCAUGUCCCUUCAACACAUGGCCUGAAAAGUCCAUGGGAAAGGGGAAGAUAAUUCAGGAAAGGUACCUGGAUACUUUAGACAUCCAAGUCCUGAGUAUUUCAUGAAUCACUUCCACUCAGAUCCUUUAGGCAGAAUGGAUCCUGCAGCCAACCCAAUUGCAAAGGAGGAUGGGAAACAGAGAGCCACACAGAUAUUGGUCACACACCUGUAGUUUUUUCCCACAAGAAGCCAAGAUGCAGAGGGAUGCCAUGAUUUUAUUAUGUUCAUUGUGUUAAUGUUGUCAGAACUAAGAUCAGAUUCUUGAUACGAUGAUUUAUCAGGUUAAGUGUAGUAUAUGAUGAAGACUUCCAUGGCUGGAUUCUGGGCAUCCCACUUGGCAGCUAGAACCUCAACAAAACUUUUAUAGUUCCUCAUGCCCACUAGACCUUAUAUCUUUGCUCCUGAAGCCCCUUACUAAGGUGUGAAUACCUUCUGCUUCUUUACCUACCUUCUCUGCCUACUUAUUCUUUAAGACUUAAGCAUCUCUGCUUCCAGGAAGGUGAUCCUAAUCUCCGAAUGGCCUCCUCUCCAGAUUGAGUUAGGUGUCCUAUGCAUCCACGUUAUCCUGUCCUAACAUCAACCCUGAAUAUUUACUGGAAGGAUUGGUGCUGAAGCUGAAGCACCAAUACUGUGGCCACCUGAUGUGA